This 460-nucleotide ribosomal RNA is filed under the name uncultured bacterium. RNAcentral describes it as "partial 16S ribosomal RNA". It matches the Rfam family "Bacterial small subunit ribosomal RNA", at positions 338 to 795 of the family's 1533-position model. The record is from RNAcentral.
CCUACGGGAGGCUGCAGUGAGGAAUAUUGGUCAAUGGGCGCGAGCCUGAACCAGCCAAGUCGCGUGAGGGAGGACGGCCCUACGGGUUGUAAACCUCUUUUGCCGGGGAGCAACGGGCGUCACGUGUGGCGCCACUGAGAGUACCCGGAGAAAAAGCAUCGGCUAACUCCGUGCCAGCAGCCGCGGUAAUACGGAGGAUGCGAGCGUUAUCCGGAUUUAUUGGGUUUAAAGGGUGCGUAGGCGGGCAUUUAAGCCGGCGGUCAAAUGUCGGGGCUCAACCCCGGCCUGCCGUCGGAACUGGGUGCCUUGAGUGGGCGAGAAGUAUGCGGAAUGCGUGGUGUAGCGGUGAAAUGCAUAGAUAUCACGCAGAACCCCGAUUGCGAAGGCAGCAUACCGGCGCCCUACUGACGCUGAGGCACGAAAGUGCGGGUAUCGAACAGGAUUAGAUACCCUUGUAGUC